UCCAUUCACUACUUUAAGUUGCUCUGGAUAAGAGCAUCUGCUAAAUGUCAGUUA
Salmo salar (Atlantic salmon) is the source of this 54-nucleotide non-coding RNA. The record is from Rfam. NCBI's taxonomy places the organism in Eukaryota, Metazoa, Chordata, Actinopteri, Salmoniformes, Salmonidae.